This 217-nucleotide long non-coding RNA is filed under the name Gossypium barbadense (sea-island cotton). RNAcentral describes it as "long non-coding RNA (GBAR_LNC016359)". The record is from RNAcentral. Lineage: Eukaryota; Viridiplantae; Streptophyta; Magnoliopsida; Malvales; Malvaceae.
UUAAAGUCACCUACCACCAACCAAAGAUAAUCUUGAUUUUUUCAUAGCCCCCGAAGCAGAUUCCAAGUAUCACUUCUGUUUCUUUCAUACGGCGCACUAUAAAAGUAGUAAAUCGCUACUCUUUAUUAGUGCUAUCAUCCUUAACUAGAACAUCGAUAUGGUUCCUUGAAAAACUCCUCAAGCUAAUAGUGGUAUCCUCUUUCCACGCCAAACAAAG